This 475-nucleotide ribosomal RNA is filed under the name uncultured bacterium. Its description in RNAcentral is "bacterial SSU rRNA". It matches the Rfam family "Bacterial small subunit ribosomal RNA", at positions 335 to 801 of the family's 1533-position model. The record is from RNAcentral.
ACUCCUACGGGAGGCAGCAGUAGGGAAUCUUCCACAAUGGGCGCAAGCCUGAUGGAGCAACACCGCGUGAGUGAAGAAGGGUUUCGGCUCGUAAAGCUCUGUUGUUAAAGAAGAACACGUAUGAGAGUAACUGUUCAUACGUUGACGGUAUUUAACCAGAAAGUCACGGCUAACUACGUGCCAGCAGCCGCGGUAAUACGUAGGUGGCAAGCGUUAUCCGGAUUUAUUGGGCGUAAAGAGAGUGCAGGCGGUUUUCUAAGUCUGAUGUGAAAGCCUUCGGCUUAACCGGAGAAGUGCAUCGGAAACUGGAUAGCUUGAGUGCAGAAGAGGGUAGUGGAACUCCAUGUGUAGCGGUGGAAUGCGUAGAUAUAUGGAAGAACACCGAGUGGCGAAGGCGGCUACCUGGUCUGCAACGUGACGCUGAGACUCGAAAGCAUGGGUAGCGAACAGGAUUAGAUACCCUGGUAGGAUAGCG